UACGGAGGGAGCUAGCGUUGUUCGGAAUUACUGGGCGUAAAGCGCACGUAGGCGGCUACUCAAGUCAGAGGUGAAAGCCCAGGGCUCAACCUUGGAACUGCCUUUGAAACUAGGUAGCUAGAAUUCUGGAGAGGUCAGUGGAAUUCCGAGUGUAGAGGUGAAAUUCGUAGAUAUUCGGAAGAACACCAGUGGCGAAGGCGACUCACUGGACACAUAUUGACGCUGAGGUGCGAAAGCGUGGGGAGCAAACAGG
RNAcentral lists this ribosomal RNA (253 nucleotides) under uncultured bacterium. Its description in RNAcentral is "partial 16S ribosomal RNA". It matches the Rfam family "Bacterial small subunit ribosomal RNA", at positions 524 to 776 of the family's 1533-position model. The record is from RNAcentral.